Molecule: long non-coding RNA, 1720 nt
Filed under: Phascolarctos cinereus (koala)
Lineage: Eukaryota; Metazoa; Chordata; Mammalia; Diprotodontia; Phascolarctidae
Description: lncRNA (ENSPCIG00000015550.2)
Source: RNAcentral
GAACUGAAGGAGGAUCAUGGUGAUGUGCAAAGGCAACUGGAGGGUCAGAGACCUCCGCUUUAAGUGUGUGAGCCAGCCCUUUCUCUGGCUGCCAUUUCCUCCAGGGUCAGACUAGAUGCUUUCUGCUCUCCUGAAGCCCACAUUUCUAGGUUGCUUCCAGCCCUGAUGUGUUAGGAUCUGUGAUAUCCUUCAAGGACAGAGUCAAGCAGUUCCCUCCACUGCUCAAGAGGCUUCUGUGGCUCUCUGUUGCUUCUAACAUAAAAUACAAACCCUGGUCUUGCAUUUUAAAAAAAGCCUUUAUGACUGGAUUCCGACUCAGCCUAACGUAGGCUCCACGUUGGGAAAAGACUUCCUCUGAAUUAGAGCCGCCCACGAGUGGAAAGGGCUGCCUCAUGUGGUAAGCUCCACUUCCCCAGAGGUCUUCAAGCCAAGGCCAGAUGACCACUUGUCAGGGCUGUUACACAGGGGGCUUCUGAAGGCAUGAGAUGAAAGGGGACGGGAGUGGGGGUGUCCUUAGAGCACAGCUCAGAUUCACUGAGGAGCCCAGCAAGUCUUUAGUGCAGGACAACCUUGGGAGCUGCGUAGCCCCGAGGGGCUGUAAGGCGGAACCUUGGGUCGGCACACAGUGUUGUCCAGACACCACGUGGGCUGUGCCAGCCCAGAGCCAACCCCGUCCACGGCCAGCUCCAGAGGAUGGGAGCCACAGCUCCAGGGCUAACUGGGAAAUUUCCAGACUAGCUAACUUCCCAAGCCCAAGAGCCCUUUCCUGGGCCAGAGCCGGGGUCCCCUGGUCCCCCAGCACUCCCUUCUUCCCUCCUAGGGUACCGGGAGGCUGCCUGUGCCCCACACUGCCGCCGAGGAAUCCCCCAACGCCAAGGAAGUGACAACCCGGACCCUGAGGGAGGACAGAGAUGCAAGUAGGUACUUUUAAAGCCUUUGUAAGGAUUGUACAGUAAGGAUUUGUGUUUGGCACUAGUAGGCGGGGACUAGAGGGGAGAGGGGCUUGGUAAACCCUAAGGCCAAGACCCUCUUUAGGGUCCUUGGCCCCAUUUGGAGCGUGAGACCAGUCUCUCUUCAUUUUGUUUACCAGGCAGGCACUCACUGGUGGCUUCCCAACAAGACACAGAAUCUGCAGAUUAUUCAAAGGAAGGAUCUGGAAUUCAUUUGUGGGGUGGUUUGGAGCACAAUGGGGGCAUAGAAAGGAACUGGAUAAAGAUAGUGCUAGCAGGGAAAUAGAACCUUCCUUUAGGAAGAACACAGAAUGGGUGUGCAGCAGCCAGAACAAGGGCUGGGCUUCAUGGAAUUUGGAGAAGAACUGGUUGGGGAAACAGACGAGCCUCACACCAAAUGGCCCGGCAGCUAAUCUGGACAGUCCUGGUAACUCACUUAGUGACCAGAACUUCAGAUCCCUCCAGGUUUUGAUUCUGCUUUCCCUGAGGACUAAAAGAGAGUGAAACUUGAGCUUAAAGAAAGGACUUUCAUUUUCAUGAAUACAACACAGGGUAUGAGAGCUGGGAGGUGUGGGUGAAACUUGGAUCACAAUGUCAGAGCUGGGGGUCUUAGAGCACGGGAUGUCAGAGGUGGGGGUUUUUAGAGCACGGGAUGUCAGAGGUGGGGGGUCUCAGAGCACGGGAUGUCAGAGGUGGGGGUUUUUAGAGCACGGGAUGUCAGAGGUGGGGGGGUCUCAGAGCACAGGAUGUCAGAGGUGGGGGGGGUCUCA